GGCAAGAUGGCCGAGCGGUCUAAGGCGGUGGACUCAAGCGACAAGCUUGACCAGGUUUACCUGGCUACGAUAAAGUGCAAUAGCACCUUUAUUCCACUCUCGCAAGGGGCGUGGGUUCGAAUCCCACUCUUGUCA
This is a transfer RNA of Aspergillus glaucus CBS 516.65, 135 nucleotides long. It matches the Rfam family "tRNA". Rfam says of the family: Transfer RNA (tRNA) molecules are approximately 80 nucleotides in length. Their secondary structure includes four short double-helical elements and three loops (D, anti-codon, and T loops). Further hydrogen bonds mediate the characteristic L-shaped molecular structure. tRNAs have two regions of fundamental functional importance: the anti-codon, which is responsible for specific mRNA codon recognition, and the 3' end, to which the tRNAs corresponding amino acid is attached (by aminoacyl-tRNA synthetases). tRNAs cope with the degeneracy of the genetic code in two manners: having more than one tRNA (with a specific anti-codon) for a particular amino acid; and 'wobble' base-pairing, i.e. permitting non-standard base-pairing at the 3rd anti-codon position. NCBI's taxonomy places the organism in Eukaryota, Fungi, Ascomycota, Eurotiomycetes, Eurotiales, Aspergillaceae. The record is from Rfam.